CGAGCGAGCGAGCCGAGCCGAGCCUCCCGCCGUCGCCAUGGGCCAGAACGACCUGAUGGGCACGGCCGAGGACUUCGCCGACCAGCGUCUGUUCCUCACACACACCCCACCCAAGGACAUGCCUGGCAGCGGCCUGGUGCUCCCCGCCGCAGCCACCUCACCCUUGGGUUUCUGUGGCCCUGCAGUUCCUCCGUGUCACAAAGCAGUACCUGCCCCACGUGGCGCGCCUCUGUCUGAUCAGCACCUUCCUGGAGGACGGCAUUCGUAUGUGGUUCCAGUGGAGUGAGCAGCGCGACUACAUCGACACCACCUGGAACUGCGGCUACCUGCUGGCCUCGUCCUUCGUCUUCCUCAACUUGCUGGGACAGCUGACUGGCUGCGUCCUGGUGUUGAGCAGGAACUUCGUGCAGUAUGCCUGCUUCGGGCUCUUUGGAAUCAUAGCUCUGCAGACGAUUGCCUACAGCAUUUUAUGGGACUUGAAGUUUUUGAUGAGGAACCUGGCCCUGGGAGGAGGCCUGUUGCUGCUCCUAGCAGAAUCCCGUUCUGAAGGG
This 551-nucleotide small RNA is filed under the name Pongo abelii (Sumatran orangutan). RNAcentral describes it as "processed transcript". Lineage: Eukaryota; Metazoa; Chordata; Mammalia; Primates; Hominidae. The record is from RNAcentral.